GCAGUCGAGCGGACAGAUGGGAGCUUGCUCCCUGAUGUUAGCGGCGGACGGGUGAGUAACACGUGGGUAACCUGCCUGUAAGACUGGGAUAACUCCGGGAAACCGGGGCUAAUACCGGAUGGUUGUUUGAACCGCAUGGUUCAGACAUAAAAGGUGGCUUCGGCUACCACUUACAGAUGGACCCGCGGCGCAUUAGCUAGUUGGUGAGGUAACGGCUCACCAAGGCGACGAUGCGUAGCCGACCUGAGAGGGUGAUCGGCCACACUGGGACUGAGACACGGCCCAGACUCCUACGGGAGGCAGCAGUAGGGAAUCUUCCGCAAUGGACGAAAGUCUGACGGAGCAACGCCGCGUGAGUGAUGAAGGUUUUCGGAUCGUAAAGCUCUGUUGUUAGGGAAGAACAAGUGCCGUUCAAAUAGGGCGGCACCUUGACGGUACCUAACCAGAAAGCCACGGCUAACUACGUGCCAGCAGCCGCGGUAAUACGUAGGUGGCAAGCGUUGUCCGGAAUUAUUGGGCGUAAAGGGCUCGCAGGCGGUUUCUUAAGUCUGAUGUGAAAGCCCCCGGCUC
Molecule: ribosomal RNA, 570 nt
Filed under: Bacillus subtilis group sp.
Lineage: Bacteria; Bacillati; Bacillota; Bacilli; Caryophanales; Bacillaceae
Description: bacterial SSU rRNA
Rfam family: Bacterial small subunit ribosomal RNA
Source: RNAcentral